This 406-nucleotide ribosomal RNA is filed under the name uncultured bacterium. RNAcentral's name for it is "partial 16S ribosomal RNA". It matches the Rfam family "Bacterial small subunit ribosomal RNA", at positions 28 to 526 of the family's 1533-position model. The record is from RNAcentral.
GAUGAACGCUAGCUACAGGCUUAACACAUGCAAGUCGAGGGACCGGCGCCCGGGUGAGUCACACGUAUCAAACCUGCCCUUUACUCGGGGAUCGACUUUCGAAAGAAAGAUUAAUACCCGAUGUAAAGGAUGGGGAUGCGUUCCAUUAGGUUGUUGGUGUGGUAUCGGCUCACCAAGCCUUCGAUGGAUAGGGGUUCUGAGAGGAAGGUCCCCCACAGUGGAACUGAGACACGGUCCAAACGCCUACGGGAGGAAGCAGUGAGGAAUAUUGGUCAAUGGGCGUUAGCCUGAACCAGCCAAGUAGCGUGAAGGAUGAAGGCUUAUGGGUCGUAAACUUCUUUUAUAUAAGAAUAUGUAUUAUAUGAAUAAGGAUCGGCUAACUCCGUGCCAGCAGCCGCGGUAAUUC